RNAcentral lists this ribosomal RNA (253 nucleotides) under uncultured bacterium. RNAcentral describes it as "partial 16S ribosomal RNA". It matches the Rfam family "Bacterial small subunit ribosomal RNA", at positions 524 to 776 of the family's 1533-position model. The record is from RNAcentral.
UACGUAGGGGGCAAGCGUUGUCCGGAAUCAUUGGGCGUAAAGAGCGUGUAGGCGGCCAGAUAAGUCCGCUGUGAAAACUCGAGGCUCAACCUCGGGCGUGCGGUGGAUACUGCCGGGCUAGAGGACGGUAGAGGCGAGUGGAAUUCCCGGUGUAGCGGUGAAAUGCGCAGAUAUCGGGAGGAACACCAGUGGCGAAGGCGGCUGCCUGGGCCAGUUCUGACGCUGAGGCGCGAAAGCGUGGGGAGCAAACAGG